UACGGGGGGAGCAAGCGUUGUUCGGAUUUACUGGGCGUAAAGGGCGCGUAGGCGGUCGUGACAGGUCACUCGUGAAAUCUCCGGGCUUAACUCGGAACGGUCAAGUGAUACUGUCGGACUAGAGUACAGGAGGGGCAACUGGAAUUCUCGGUGUAGCGGUGAAAUGCGUAGAUAUCGAGAGGAACACCUGCGGCGAAGGCGGGUUGCUGGGCUGAUACUGACGCUGAGGCGCGAAAGCCAGGGGAGCGAACGGG
RNAcentral lists this ribosomal RNA (254 nucleotides) under uncultured bacterium. Its description in RNAcentral is "partial 16S ribosomal RNA". It matches the Rfam family "Bacterial small subunit ribosomal RNA", at positions 524 to 776 of the family's 1533-position model. The record is from RNAcentral.